UCAUGACCAUGAAUAAAUAUUAUUCAAACAAAAUUGUGUUCUAUUACAACAAACAACUUAGAUAUCUGGGAAGUAAAACUUAAAAUCAAGAGAUAUAUUUACUAAACUCUAUCAUUUUAUAUUUACCUAAAGUACAAAAGACUGGAAUAAUGUUCCAAGAUUUGACAAUAAGAGCACAUAGACAAAACCAUUAAUUAUAAGAUCGACAUUACAAAUAGCCUAAAAGCACAUAUACAUCUAUUUGUGCACAUGGUAGAUGUUGAUAUGACUCCAACAACCAGUCACUGAAGCAAAUUCCAUUGUUUUUUAUUUUCUCCGAGAGCCUUUAUUGUAUCACCUCCUUGAGCACAUAUCACAAUCUUUAAUCUAUUGUGCAUGAUAUUGACAGACUCCUAGCUUCCUUUUUGACAACCAGACACGUAUUUGGUUCGUCUAGCAGCAUUUGGCACCAAGCAUCAAAGGUUACUCAUCUUUGUAGCAAUCUUACAUGACAUCACUUUGGCACAAUAUCAGUAUUAUGCGUCUCUAUUGCAUCACCUACACCAAUACAAUUAUACACUUAACGAACAUAUUAGAAGGAAAAAAAAUCACUCACAAAACACCCGCGAAAAAGAUAAAUUAAUGAUAAAACUAGUACUAGAAUAUAUGCACAGUAGAAAACAAAAAGAUCAAUUAAAAUAGUAAUAGAAUAUAUUGACUUCCAAAAAAUUCAGAAAACUAUACGUUAAAAAAUUUGUUCAUGUAAAACUAGGAGCAACUAACAAUUAUCAUGGUCAAAGAAGUGAUGUUUAAUGUGCUUAUUUUUCUGAGAAGUCGUGAAUUUUUCUCACCAGCUAGAUCUGAAACUUGCUUCUCUUGUACCUUUCUUCAGUUUCUUGUCUAGAAUAAAAAGAAAAUUAAAGACCAAAAGAGACACAGAGACCCAGAAAGGGAAAAACGAAUACGGUUCAAUGAGACUAUGAGAGACAUAAAUGGUCAAAUUUCAAAGAUAGAUAGGCAAAAGAAGGUAUUUUAAGAUAGGUAAAAGGAGACACUUUCAUCUCUUUCUCCAACAGUGCCAACAAUGCCAAAGCAGCGGCACCCUUGGUGGUGGGUGGAAAAAGAUAAAGAUUGAAGACGGAGCGUCAUUCAGAA
This 1134-nucleotide long non-coding RNA is filed under the name Glycine max (soybean). Its description in RNAcentral is "long non-coding RNA (GMAX_LNC001999)". Lineage: Eukaryota; Viridiplantae; Streptophyta; Magnoliopsida; Fabales; Fabaceae. The record is from RNAcentral.